CCAAAAACGGAAAUUUACACCUUAGUAGAUACUACUUAAUUUAAUAGAUAUAGUAAUAAAACAUAAUAUUAUCGUAAAUAAUGGUUAUUAAAGUGUAUCCAGUUUAUAAUUUUAUACAAAUUAUAUAAAUAUAAAUAUAGCUAUUAUUAUUACACUAUGGUUUAUAGAGUGCCAGCAACCGCGGUCAAACUCUAGUAGUGCUUAAUUACUUAUAUAAAAUCUAUUAUAAUUAUAGUAUAUAAAGUGAAAUUAUAUAGUAAAAUGUAAAUUUCAACUAAUAUAGUAGAUCUAUUUGCUAGUUGUAAAAUAUGAUUUAAAAACUAGGAUUAGAUACCCUACUAUUCAUAAAAUAUGUAAAGAUUUUGAGGAGUAUCAUUUUAAAACUCAAAAAUUAUGGCGGUCUAUAAAAUUUAUUAGGGGAGCUUACCUUAUAAUUGAUAGCCACCAAGAAUAAUUUACUUAUCUUAUAAAAAGUUUGUAUGCCAUCGUAUAAAAUAUUUUUUAAAAAUAUUUACAAUAUAUCUCUAUUAUAUAAUUACAGAUCAAGGUGCAACUAAUAGAUAAGUAAGGGCGAGCUACAAUAAUAAUUUAUUAUCGGUAAUUAAAUAUAAACAUUUGAUGAAAGAUGGACUUAAAAGUAAUAUUGUGUUCCUAUAUACAUAACUAACCAUUAAAAAAUGAAUAUCCCAUUUAUAGGUGC
Molecule: ribosomal RNA, 700 nt
Filed under: Orcula jetschini
Lineage: Eukaryota; Metazoa; Mollusca; Gastropoda; Stylommatophora; Orculidae
Description: partial 12S ribosomal RNA
Source: RNAcentral